UACGUAGGGACCAAGCGUUGUUCGGAUUUACUGGGCGUAAAGGGCGCGUAGGCGGCCAUGCGUGUCUUUCGUGAAAUCCCUCGGCUUAACUGAGGACGUGCGGAAGAAACUGCAAGGCUUGAGUCCGGGAGAGGGGGGUGGAAUUCCCAGUGUAGCGGUGAAAUGCGUAGAUAUUGGGAGGAACACCGGUGGCGAAGGCGGCCCCCUGGACCGGUACUGACGCUGAGGCGCGAAAGCGUGGGUAGCAAACGGG
This 253-nucleotide ribosomal RNA is filed under the name uncultured prokaryote. RNAcentral describes it as "partial 16S ribosomal RNA". It matches the Rfam family "Bacterial small subunit ribosomal RNA", at positions 524 to 776 of the family's 1533-position model. The record is from RNAcentral.